AAGUCGUAACAAGGUUACCGUAGGUGAACCUGCGGUAGGAUCAUUGACACUUUCAGAAAUUUGAAAAAAUAUGUGAAUAUUUAAAGUAAAGUUUUUAUUUUUCAAAAAAAAAGAAAUGUAAAAAAAAUAUUUCUAAAAGAAAAAUAGAAAAAACAUUUUCAACAAUGGAUCUCUUGGCUCUC
This 182-nucleotide unclassified non-coding RNA is filed under the name fungal sp. RNAcentral describes it as "partial internal transcribed spacer region". The stretch from base 1 to 46 matches the Rfam family "Eukaryotic small subunit ribosomal RNA", at positions 1786 to 1831 of the family's 1831-position model. Lineage: Eukaryota; Fungi. The record is from RNAcentral.